Molecule: ribosomal RNA, 509 nt
Filed under: uncultured bacterium
Lineage: Bacteria
Description: bacterial SSU rRNA
Rfam family: Bacterial small subunit ribosomal RNA
Source: RNAcentral
CGAACGCUGGCGGCGUGCUUAACACAUGCAAGUCGAACGCGAAAGGGACUUCGGUCCUGAGUAAAGUGGCGCACGGGUGAGUAACGCGUAGAUAACCUGUCUUCAUGUCUGGAAUAAUACGCCGAAAGGGGUACUAAUACCGGAUAUUCUUGCUUUUCAUAAGUUAUGCAAGCAAAGGUGGCCUCUGCAUAUGCUACUGCAUGAAGAGGGGUCUGCGUACCAUUAGCUAGUAGGUGGGGUAAUGGCCUACCUAGGCGACGAUGGUUAGCGGGUCUGAGAGGAUGAUCCGCCACACUGGCACUGGAACACGGGCCAGACUCCUACGGGAGGCAGCAGUGAGGAAUAUUGCGCAAUGGGGGAAACCCUGACGCAGCGACGCCGCGUGAGUGAAGGAAGGCCUUCGGGUCGUAAAGCUCUGUCAAGAGGAAAGAAGUGUACAAUGGCUAAUACCUGUUGUACUUGACGGUACCUCUAAAGGAAGCACCGGCUAACUCCGUGCCAGCAGCCGC